AUGCACGCUGGCGGCGUGCCUAAUCCCUGCCAGUCGAGCGAACAGAUGAGGAGCUUGCUCCUCUGACGUUAGCGGCGGACGGGUGAGUAACACGUGGAUAACCUACCUAUAAGACUGGGAUAACUUCGGGAAACCGGAGCUAAUACCGGAUAAUAUAUUGAACCGCAUGGUUCAAUAGUGAAAGACGGUUUUGCUGUCACUUAUAGAUGGAUCCGCGCCGCAUUAGCUAGUUGGUAAGGUAACGGCUUACCAAGGCGACGAUGCGUAGCCGACCUGAGAGGGUGAUCGGCCACACUGGAACUGAGACACGGUCCAGACUCCUACGGGAGGCAGCAGUAGGGAAUCUUCCGCAAUGGGCGAAAGCCUGACGGAGCAACGCCGCGUGAGUGAUGAAGGUCUUCGGAUCGUAAAACUCUGUUAUUAGGGAAGAACAAAUGUGUAAGUAACUAUGCACGUCUUGACGGUACCUAAUCAGAAAGCCACGGCUAACUACGUG
This 496-nucleotide ribosomal RNA is filed under the name uncultured bacterium. RNAcentral describes it as "partial 16S ribosomal RNA". It matches the Rfam family "Bacterial small subunit ribosomal RNA", at positions 29 to 507 of the family's 1533-position model. The record is from RNAcentral.